This 460-nucleotide ribosomal RNA is filed under the name uncultured Proteiniphilum sp. RNAcentral's name for it is "bacterial SSU rRNA". It matches the Rfam family "Bacterial small subunit ribosomal RNA", at positions 338 to 795 of the family's 1533-position model. Lineage: Bacteria; Pseudomonadati; Bacteroidota; Bacteroidia; Bacteroidales; Dysgonomonadaceae. The record is from RNAcentral.
CCUACGGGGGGCUGCAGUGAGGAAUAUUGGUCAAUGGGCGCAAGCCUGAACCAGCCACGUCGCGUGAAGGAAGACGGCCCUACGGGUUGUAAACUUCUUUUGCAAGGGAAUAAAGUUGGCCACGCGUGGCCUUUUGCAUGUACCUUGCGAAUAAGGAUCGGCUAACUCCGUGCCAGCAGCCGCGGUAAUACGGAGGAUCCGAGCGUUAUCCGGAUUUAUUGGGUUUAAAGGGUGCUCAGGCGGGGGAUUAAGUCGGCGGUGAAAUUUUGCGGCUCAACCGUAAAAGUGCCUUCGAAACUGGUUUCCUUGAGUGUGGAUGAGGUAGGCGGAAUUUGUGGUGUAGCGGUGAAAUGCAUAGAUAUCACGAGGAACUCCGAUUGCGCAGGCAGCUUACUAAGCCAUAACUGACGCUCAAGCACGAAGGCGUGGGGAUCAAACAGGAUUAGAUACCCUUGUAGUC